GGAGGAGGAGGAAGCAGUAGAGAAGGGCUGACAGCAGAAACGUGUAAGAUCAUAACGAGGUUGCCUGCUGAGGUGAGGUAAGCAGAUGGCGGGGCAUGGGAGGGCUGGCGAAAGGGUCGUUCCUACUCCUCCUCCUCUCUCUCCAGCGUCUCUCAUGGGGCAGCACAGCAAAACAAAGUAUAGCAAAACAUAGCAAAACGAAGUGCCCGAAGACUGGAAGGAAGCAUGACUGGAAGCAAAACAAGGUGCCCGAGGACUGGAAGGAAGCAUAACUGGAAGCAAAACGAGGUGCCCGAGGACUGGAAGGAAGCAUAACUGGAAGCAAAACGAGGUGCCCGAGGACUGGAAGGAAGCAUGACUGGAAGCAAAACGAGGUGCCCGAAGACUGGAAGGAAGCAUGACUGGAAGCAAAACGAGGUGCCCGAGGACUGGAAGGAAGCAUGACUGGAAGCAAAACGAGGUGCCCGAAGACUGGAAGGAAGCAUGACUGGAAGCAAAACGAGGUACCCGAGGACUGGAAGGAAGCAUGACUGGAAGCAAAACGAAGUGCCCGAAGACUGGAAGGAAGCAUGACUGGAAGCAAAACGAAGUACCCGAAGACUGGAAGGAAGCAUGACUGGAAGCAAAACGAAGUACCCGAAGACUGGAAGGAAGCAUGACUGGAAGCAAAACGAGGUGCCCGAGGACUGGAAGGAAGCAUGACUGGAAGCAAAACGAGGUGCCCGAGGACUGGAAGGAAGCAUGACUGGAAGCAAAACGAGGUACCCGAGGACUGGAAGGAAGCAUGACUGGAAGCAAAACGAAGUACCCGAGGACUGGAAGGAAGCAUGACUGGAAGCAAAACGAAGUGCCCGAGGACUGGAAGGAAGCAUGACUGGAAGCAAAACGAAGUGCCCGAGGACUGGAAGGAAGCAUGACUGGAAGCAAAACGAAGUACCCGAAGACUGGAAGGAAGCAUGACUGGAAGCAAAACGAAGUGCCCGAAGACUGGAAGGAAGCAUGACUGGAAGCAAAACGAAGUGCCCGAGGACUGGAAGGAAGCAUGACUGGAAGCAAAACGAGGUACCCGAGGACUGGAAGGAAGCAUGACUGGAAGCAAAACGAAGUACCCGAGGACUGGAAGGAAGCAUAACUGGAAGCAAAACGAAGUACCCGAGGACUGGAAGGAAGCAUAACUGGAAGCAAAACGAAGUACCCGAAGACUGGAAGGAAGCAUGACUGGAAGCAAAACGAGGUGCCCGAGGACUGGAAGGAAGCAUGACUGGAAGCAAAACGAGGUGCCCGAGGACUGGAAGGAAGCAUGACUGGAAGCAAAACGAAGUGCCCGAGGACUGGAAGGAAGCAUGACUGGAAGCAAAACGAGGUGCCCGAGGACUGGAAGGAAGCAUGACUGGAAGCAAAACGAGGUGCCCGAGGACUGGAAGGAAGCAUGA
Long non-coding RNA from Eriocheir sinensis (Chinese mitten crab), 1433 nucleotides. RefSeq lists it as uncharacterized. The transcript is spliced from 3 exons. The record is from RefSeq and is a predicted model, not a curated record. Lineage: Eukaryota; Metazoa; Arthropoda; Malacostraca; Decapoda; Varunidae.